CGCCGCCUCCGCUGGCCGCCGGCCGUCGCCGCCGCCGCCCCUGCCUCCGCGGCUCACUACGGCGACACUCCACAUCCGGCAGGUAUAGUUUUCCUUCCUUUCUCCUUCCUCCCUCCACCCUCCUCCCUCUGUCCUCCCUCAUCCCGUGGCGGUGGCCGGCCGGCGGUCCGAUGGCUCCGGCACCGGUGCACCGGCCCUUCUCCUCCUUACUCCUACCUCCCUCCUCGGCUCCUCCCUUCCUUUGCCCCCUAUGGUGGAGGUCAGGCCGUCCCAUGCCUCCUCAAUCUGGUAUCCGUGAGGGACGGGGCAGGUUCGGCCGUCCGGCGGCGCCGAUGCCGGUGAACUGGGACUCCUUCCUCCUCUCUCCUCCCUCCACCCUCCAUCACUCGUCCCCAUCCAUCCUCUUCCAAAAAAAUUUAUCUGUUCAUGCAUAUAUAUUUUUCUGUUUUUUUGUGAUGUGAUGAUUAAUAGCCAUAGAUUGUAAUCUGUUAUUACAGUAUCAUUAGUACUUGCUGCAUAUUGCUACUCUCUAUGCAUUUUCAAGAUUAUGUAUGAAUGGAUUAGCCAGCAAUGGCCCAAUUUUGUCAUGGUUUAUGUCUUGUGCUACAUAAUUGCUUGAUGCACAUAUUGAGCUGUCAUUGGCCAGCAGUGCCACAUUAAAGUUUUUGAUAGAUGUGAUGCCGAUGAUGAGUAUGUACUUCCAGUGCUACGACGGGAGGUGGCAUGAACACAAGCAGAUCCGGUUGAAGAUGAGGAGAACGAAUAUAGCAUGGCAAUAUUCGUAGUAGGACAGCUCAUGCUUGUCUAGCGAUGGCAACAUAAGUUUAGCUAUGUCGAUGGAGGUCAUCAUCAUGUGAACCAUACAUGUCUUGUAUGGUGCAUGUCUUUGUAAUAAUAUUAUGGGAGCAUUAUCUAUAUAAAUGUAUGCAACAUCAAAGUAUAGUUGUUCAAUUGUGUAUGUGUUACUAUAAAUUGCUUACAUUGUCAUAUUUUUUUUCUAUGUCAAAUGAUCGUCCAAUUCCCUA
RNAcentral lists this long non-coding RNA (1025 nucleotides) under Triticum aestivum (bread wheat). RNAcentral's name for it is "long non-coding RNA (TAES_LNC016087)". Lineage: Eukaryota; Viridiplantae; Streptophyta; Magnoliopsida; Poales; Poaceae. The record is from RNAcentral.